RNAcentral lists this ribosomal RNA (693 nucleotides) under uncultured Actinomycetes bacterium. RNAcentral describes it as "bacterial SSU rRNA". It matches the Rfam family "Bacterial small subunit ribosomal RNA", at positions 57 to 757 of the family's 1533-position model. Lineage: Bacteria; Bacillati; Actinomycetota; Actinomycetes. The record is from RNAcentral.
GCAGUCGAGCGACGCAUAUCGGAGGAGUAAUCCACUGGUAUGACGGAGCGGNGAACGGGUGAGUAUCACGUGAGAAACCUGCCCCGAAGACCGGGAUAGCCCGGGGAAACCCGGAUUAAUACCGGAUACCCUCUACAGAUCGCAUGGUCUGUUGAGGAAAGGCCUUUGUGCUUCGGGAUGGUCUCGCGGCCUAUCAGCUAGUUGGUGAGGUAACGGCCCACCAAGGCAACGACGGGUAGCUGGUCUGAGAGGACGAUCAGCCACACUGGGACUGAGACACGGCCCAGACUCCUACGGGAGGCAGCAGCAGGGAAUCUUGUCCAAUGGGCGCAAGCCUGAGACAGCGACGCCGCGUGGGGGAUGAAGGCCUUCGGGUUGUAAACCCCUUUCAGGAGGGACGAAAUUGACGGUACCUCCAGAAGAAGCCCCGGCCAACUACGUGCCAGCAGCCGCGGUAAUACGUAGGGGGCAAGCGUUGUCCGGAAUUAUUGGGCGUAAAGGGCUCGUAGGCGGCUUGGCAAGUCGGCCGUGAAAGCCCGGGGCUUAACCCCGGGAUGCCGGUCGAUACUGCCAUGGCUUGGGUCCGGUAGAGGAGAAUGGAAUUCCCGGUGUAGCGGUGAAAUGCGCAGAUAUCGGGAGGAACACCAACAGCGAAGGCAGUUCUCUGGGCCGGUACCGACGCUGAGGAGCGAA